RNAcentral lists this ribosomal RNA (383 nucleotides) under Staphylococcus aureus. RNAcentral describes it as "partial 23S ribosomal RNA". It matches the Rfam family "Bacterial large subunit ribosomal RNA", at positions 1900 to 2282 of the family's 2925-position model. The record is from RNAcentral. Lineage: Bacteria; Bacillati; Bacillota; Bacilli; Caryophanales; Staphylococcaceae.
CGAAGCUACGAAUCGAAGCCCCAGUAAACGGCGGCCGUAACUAUAACGGUCCUAAGGUAGCGAAAUUCCUUGUCGGGUAAGUUCCGACCCGCACGAAAGGCGUAACGAUUUGGGCACUGUCUCAACGAGAGACUCGGUGAAAUCAUAGUACCUGUGAAGAUGCAGGUUACCCGCGACAGGACGGAAAGACCCCGUGGAGCUUUACUGUAGCCUGAUAUUGAAAUUCGGCACAGCUUGUACAGGAUAGGUAGGAGCCUUUGAAACGUGAGCGCUAGCUUACGUGGAGGCGCUGGUGGGAUACUACCCUAGCUGUGUUGGCUUUCUAACCCGCACCACUUAUCGUGGUGGGAGACAGUGUCAGGCGGGCAGUUUGACUGGGGCGG